RNAcentral lists this long non-coding RNA (601 nucleotides) under Homo sapiens (human). Its description in RNAcentral is "HSALNT0343373". The record is from RNAcentral. Lineage: Eukaryota; Metazoa; Chordata; Mammalia; Primates; Hominidae.
CUGGUGAUAGAGCAGUGAACAAAGCAGUUUCUGCCCUCAUGGAGCUUACAUCCUAAUGAGAGAGCCUGAUAACAAGCAAGUGUAUUCAUAAUUGCUCAUUGAAGCAGUUUUAUGAUGGUACACGAGGCUCUCUCUUCAAUGGCUAUAAAAUUUAUAAUCCCACCAGCAUUUAGGAAAGGAUCAGCACAUUAAUGAGAAUGAAUAAAAGAUGUCCAGAAUACAGAAAGAGAGUGAAAUUUUAAAUAAGACUGUCAAGACGAGUCUUACUGAGAAGAUGGAACUGGAGCGAAGACUAAGAGAAGGUGAAAUAUGUGGCUGUCUGAGGGAAAGCAUUCCAGGAGGAAGGAACAGCUAGUACAAAGGCUCUGAGGUGGCAGUGUGCUGGCUGCUGGGGAGGAGGCCACAGUGGCUGAAGUAGGGCGAAUGGUGAUACUUAUGGUGGGAGAUGAGUUCAGAAGGUAAUGGGGGAAGGUGUAGAACAUGAAGGGCCUUAUAGGCCAGAGCAAGAACUUUGGUUUUCAUGCAGCAUGAAAGGAAGAUCUUGGCAGGGUUUCGAGGCAUGAUGUUAUCUGACAUUUUUAAAAAAUAAAAUCAAUUUGUU